AGCGGUAGAGCACUGCCUUCACACGGCAGGGGUCACUGGUUCGAACCCAGUACCGCCCA
Gallionellales bacterium GWE2_58_10 is the source of this 59-nucleotide non-coding RNA. NCBI's taxonomy places the organism in Bacteria, Pseudomonadati, Pseudomonadota, Betaproteobacteria, Nitrosomonadales. The record is from Rfam.